Salvia splendens (bonfire salvia) is the source of this 1983-nucleotide long non-coding RNA. RefSeq lists it as uncharacterized. The transcript is spliced from 5 exons. Lineage: Eukaryota; Viridiplantae; Streptophyta; Magnoliopsida; Lamiales; Lamiaceae. The record is from RefSeq and is a predicted model, not a curated record.
UUAAUCUCAGAAAUUUGUCUUUCAUAUUCAAUAUCUCUCUGUCAUCCUGAUUUUGACGUUUUUUUCCCCUCUUCUCUUGUUUACUUAACCAAACGAAAUCAGGCUAUUUUCGAGCACUAUCUCAUCGGAGGAACGGUUGAUCACAAUUUGAAUAAAAAUACAGGAGCAGCAAUGGAGAUGCAUAUGCCAGAUCAUGCAGCGAGGUACUCCUUUUUGGCGACUUGUGCUGAAACAAUUUGAUGAUUUACUUGUGCAGAUACUAAUUGUAGUUGCUAUGGUCUCCUUCCGUUUGGCAUUGGCUAAUGGAGAGACAGGGUUAUCUGUCUUCUUAGAGCCUUCAGUAAGAUAUCAUAUUUAUCAGUUACUACAGCGCAUAUCCAUUUCAUUUAUAGCAUGUGAUAUGUCAAAAUAACUUUAUUGAGCAUAGAAAAUGCUAUUAGCUUUCUGAAACUUGAGUACGAGCGGAUUGUUAGCAACAAACGGGCACACGUGUCUGUUUCAUGCAUUAAUUACAUAGCUGAGUUGCAGUGUGAUGAGAAAAAGAAUGCAUCAGAUAUUAUUUGCAAGAAUUUUUUGCUCCAGUAUUUUGAUCAUUCCUUGUUUAUCCAAAGUUUCUGAAUGAGACAUAUCCAUGGAAUUAUUAAGGUUCAUGGGAAAGAAAUUCAAGGGAUUAUGCGACAAUAACAUCAAGAUUGCCAAAAGCAUGAAACGUUUCAUCAAAUCUUUAGCUUCUUUCUUGUUGGCAUCACAGGUCGUUUAGUUUAGAGACUUCAGUACCUGGUAUGCAGGAACUACGUGCAUACCAAGCUGAUGUUGCAACUGUCCUACGAAAUGGUAAUACAGACUCUUCUGUUGUUUCUCAAUCUUACCCGCUGUCCCUGGAGAUAUUGUAGAAGUCACCGUUGGAUGCAAGAUUCCAGCAGAUAUGAGGAUGAUAGAAAUGCUUAAGUGAUUAAUCACAUGUUGAUCAAGCAAUUCUUACAGGUACUUUCAUGCCUUAGAAAAAGAACUAUGAAGGUAUCCACUGUAAUAUUAUUGUUGAUUUUAUGAGAACUAUCAUUAGAAUCAUUUUGUUUCCAUAUAUAUGAAAACUCAAAAUCACUGGUAAGUUUCACGGAACAAACAAUGUGGGGUCUUGAUUCCCUUUUUUAUAGUGUUUUUCGUGUUCAUUUGCUGAAUUCUGAUAUACAUAUAUUUUGGAUGAUACAAAAUUCAAUAAUUGCUUCAACGGGCCAUCUUGUGAUGUGAAGAAGAACAAAAUGAAAUGACGAAUUGAGAUCCGGUUCUUUUUAUUGGACUUUGAAGUAUCUCAAUCAAUUUUCUCAUGAGACAAUCACAUUGCAGUUGAGCUUGUUCGUUAUACUUCGUUGCUGGGAUCUCAAUCCUACUUUGAAUUGCCUGUUGUGUUUGACUUGGGAGUUGCAAAGGUGAUAUUGCAAAAUCUUCUGUUAGAGGGUUGAUUGCAAGGUCAAUCCUUCUGUGAGGACGCCUGCACAGUUCGGACAGAUCUAACAUGUUCACAUUUGCUCUGUAUAUUGUCCCUUUUCUUUAGGGUUAUUGCCCCUUUCUAGUUAAAGUUUCUAGUUCAGGAAAGGAACAGUAUUUGUAAACAUCUUUACAAGACAAGAAGCUUCAAAUGUUACUGUAGGGUUAUGGUGAAUAAUGUGGUGGAUUUCGACACUUGUUCCACAAGGGAAACAAGCUAUCCUUGCACCGUGUUUAGUGAUAAGCAUCCUUCAACGGUUUCAAUGACUAUACUUGUUGUUGAGAUGUUGAACAACCUUAGUGAAAACCAGUCACUCUUGUGAGUACGUACCCACUCAUCUGUAACUUAAUAGCAUAAACCUUAGGUGUACACACACAUCGGAGCUUUUUGCUGCUCCGUACCUAAUUGAGUUGAUAUGUUUGAGCCACAUUGCAUAUUGUUUGCUUCUUAAAGCUAGCUUAUGAGAAUGUUUAAUCUGAAAUAUCUUCUUCCUCUUU